UCUGUGAUGCCCUUAGAUGUUCUGGGCCGCACGCGCGCUACACUGACGGAGCCAGCGAGUACUUCCUUGGCCGACCAGCCGGGUAACUUUGUUAAACUCCGUCGUGCUGGGGAUAGAGCAUUGCAAUUAUCGCUCUUCAACGAGGAAUCCCUAGUAAGCGCAAGUCAUCAGCUUGCGUUGAUUACGUCCCUGCCCUUUGUACACACCGCCCGUCGCUACUACCGAUCGAAUGGCUCAGUGAGGCGUCCGGAAUGGCCCAGGGACGUGGGCAACUACCACCCAGGGCCGGAAAGCUCUCCAAACUCGGUCAUUUAGAGGAAGUAA
RNAcentral lists this ribosomal RNA (324 nucleotides) under uncultured eukaryote. RNAcentral describes it as "SSU rRNA". It matches the Rfam family "Eukaryotic small subunit ribosomal RNA", at positions 1461 to 1785 of the family's 1831-position model. The record is from RNAcentral.